Molecule: long non-coding RNA, 5113 nt
Filed under: Homo sapiens (human)
Lineage: Eukaryota; Metazoa; Chordata; Mammalia; Primates; Hominidae
Description: PREDICTED lncRNA (TCONS_00164001)
Source: RNAcentral
CUUGGUUACCAACUAUUUUAGUUGUAUUUUGUAUAGUACUAUAUUAUAAAUCUAUGUUCACAUCUAACACAGGCAUGAGUGGAAGGCAGGCAUACAACAUCCUCUUAAACACUUCUAUUAAUGGAGUAUUCAGCACAUCACAAAGUAGCUUUAUGGAUAGCUUGGCUUCUGAAUUUUUUUAAACUAUUAAGUAACAUUAAUAAUUUCCUUUAUUCUAUGUGCACAGAACACCGGCAAUAAAGAUUUCAUUCAUUUACUCAAAAAUAUUUACUGGUUGCCUUUUUGGGGACAGGUACUUUAUGACUUUAUGACAUAGUUACAAUGGUAAAGUAACAAAAUUUCAUUUCAUACCAUCAAGUGUUUAAAAUUAAAAUAAGUAUUUUAGAUGUAGAUAAAUAUGUUUUUCUAAAAAUCACCAAACAGGAUAUAAGUAAUUUAUUUGAUCAUGGCAUUUUAUCACAUACUAUAACAAGAUCUAUUUAUCACAUACUAUAACAAGAUCUAUUCCCAGUAUCUAGAAAGCAAGCCAACGGGCCGGGCGCAGUGGCUCACGUCUGUAAUCCGAGCACUUUGGGAGGCCGAGGUAGGUAGAUUAUGAGCACAAGAGAUCGAGACCAUCCUGGCAAACAUGGUGAAAUCCUGUCUCUACUAAAAAUAAAAAAAUUAGCUGGGGGUGGUUGGCGUGCGACUGUAGUCCCAGCUACUCGGCAGGCUGAGGCAGGAGAAUUACUUGAACCUGAGAGGGGGAGGUUGCAGUGAGCUGAGAUUGCACCACUGCACUCCAGCCUGGUGACAGAGGGAGACUCGGUCUCAAAAAAAAAAAAAAAAAAAAAAAAAGACAGCCACCGAACUGUAAACCAAUUAAAUUGGGAGUAGAACUGGAAGAGUGUGAUUUAUUACCUUGUUUAUAGCCUGAAUGUCUUAAAAAAUGGGUCCCAACUCAAACUUUACAAUUAUCCAUUUAGUGUCAUAAAAUUCUAUAAGUCAAAUAUUAAAAUUGAUCUAUAAGUCUAUUCCCUUUAAAAAAGCCUAUUCCCUGAAGCUCUUACAAAAAUGAAGUAAUAAAGGUAUAUGUUUAACAUGUAUUUAUUUAUUUAUUUGAGGGUUGUGCUUUGUCACCUAGGCUGGAGUGCAGUGGCAUGAUCAUGGCUCACUGCAACCUCUACCUCCUGGGCUCAAGCAAUCCUCCCACCUCAGCCUCCUGAGUAGUUGGGACUACAGGUGUGCGCCAGCACACCUGGCUAAUUUUUGUAUUUUUUGUAGAGAUGCAGUUUCGCCAUGUUGCCUAGGCUAGUCUCAAACACCUGGACUCACCCAAUAAGCCUGACUUGGCCUCUCCAAGUGUUGGGAUUACAGGCAUGAGCCACCACACCCAGCUGGAAAAUGUUUAAAAUUUAUUAAGUGAAAAGUAACUCAUGCUGCAAUGAACGUACUAUGUAAAAAUGUAUGUAUGUGGAACAGGGAAAAAUAUAAACAGUCACAGAAAUGUGUUUAGGUUGGUAGCAUUCUUUUUCCUCUUAAAAAUUCCUUUUUUUGGCCGGGCGCUGUGGCUCACACCUGUAAUCCCAGCACUUUGGGAAGCCGCGGUGGACAGAUCACAAGGUCAGGAGAUCAAGACCAUCCUGGCUAACAUGGUGAAACCCCGUCUCUACUAAAAAUACAAAAAAUUAGCUGGGCAUGGAGGCACUCGCCUGUAGUCGCAGCUACUCGGGAGGCUGAGGCAGGAGAAUCGCUUGAACUGGGGAGAUGGAGGUUGUAGUGAGCCCAGAUCAUGCCACUGCACUCAAGCCUGGGCUGAGACCUCCAGAGUCUGGCUGAGACCUAUGGAGUCUCACUCUGUCACCUAGGCUGGAGUACAGUGGUGCGAUCUCGGCACACUGCAACCUCCACCUCCCAGACAUUCUCCUGCCUCAGCCUCUCAACUAGCUGGGAUUACAUUCGCCCGCCUCCACACCCACUAAUUUUUGUAUUUUUAGUAGAGAUGCGGUUUCCCCAUGUUGGCCAGGCUGUUCUUGAACUCCUGACCUCAAGUUAUACGCCCACUUUGGACUCCCAAAGUGCUGGGAUUACAGGUGUGAGCCACGGCACCAGCCAAAAAUUUCUUUAAAUAUUAGUGGUAUAUUAUUCUCUCAAUAAGUUUUUUUUUUUUUUUUUUUUGAGACAGUCUUGUUUUAUUGCCUAAGCUGGAGUGCAGUGGCACAAUCUCAACUCACUGCAACCUCCACCUCCCAGGUUUAUUUUUUUUCUCAUGCCUCAGCCUCCCAAGAAGCUGGGAUUACAGGCAUGUGCCCCAAAGGCCAGUUAAGUUUUCUUUUUCUUUUUUUCUUUUUUCUUGGUUGAGACGGAUUUUCGCUCGUCACCCACACUGGAGUGCAAUGGCGCGAUCUCGGCUCACUGCAACCUCCGACUCUUGGGUUCAAGCGAUUCUCCUGCCUCAGCCUCCCGAGUAGCUGGGAUUAGAGGCACCUGUCACCACGCCCGCUACUUUUGGUAUUUUUAGUAGAGAUGGAGUUUCACCACGUUGGCCAGGCUGAUCUCAAACUCCUGGCCUCAAGUGAUUCACCUGCCUUGGCCUCCCAAAGUGCUGGAAUUACAGGCCCGGCCUAUUUUUGCAAUAAUUAUGAAUAGCACACCAUUUAAACCUGUUGAUUGAGCCCUCCUUAAAUAACUAAAUACACUACUGGCCAACAUGGUGAAAACCUGUCUCCACUAAAAACACAAAAAAAUGGCCGGGCACAGUGGCUCAUGCCUGUAAUCCCAGCACUUCAGGAGGCCAAGGGGUGUGAAUCACCUGAGGUUAGGAGUUCAAGACCAGCCUGGCCAACAUGGUGAAACCCUGUCUCUACUAAAAAAAAAUACAAAAAUUAGCUGAGUGUAGUGGCACAUACCCGUAGUCUCAGCUACUCAGGAGGCUGAGGCAGGAGAAUUGCUUGAACCUGGGAGGCAGGGGUUGCAGUGAGCCAAGAUCGUGCCACCACACUCCAGCCUGGGUGACACAGCGAGACUCCAUCUCAAAAUAAAUAAAUAAAUAAAAAGAAAGGGACCGAGCGCGGUGGCUCAUGCUUGUAAUCCCAGCACUCUGGGAGGCUGAGUUGGGCAGAUCACAAGGUCAAGAGUUCAGGACCAGCCUGACCAACACGGUAAAACCCCAUCUCUACUAAAAAUACAAAAAUGAGCUGGGUGUGAUGGCACGCGCCUGUAACCCCAGUUACUCAAAAGGCUGAGACUACAGGCGCACGCCAGCAUGUCCAGAUAAUUUUUUGUAUUUUUAGUAGAGAUGGGGUUUCACCAUGUUGGCCAGGAUGGUCUCAAAUCUCUUGACCUCGUGAUCUGCCCAUGUCGGCUUCCCAAAGUGUUAGGAUAACAGGCAUGAGCUACCGUGCCCAGCCUACUUAAAAUAUUCUUGAAAUAGCUCUCCCCACCUCCUUUUUUUUUUUUUUUUGAGAAUGAGUUUCACUCGACACCCAGGCUGGAGUGCAGUGGUGCGAUCUUGGCUCACUGCAACCUCUGCCUCCCAGGUUCAAGCGAUUAUCCUGCCUCAGCCUCCUGAGUAGCUGGGAUUACAAAUGUGCACCACCACAUCUGGCUAAUUUUUUUUUUUUUUUUUUGUAUUUUUAGUAGAGACGGGGUUUCACCAAGUUGGCCUGGCUGGUCUCGAACACCUGACCUCAAUUGAUCCACCUGCCUCGGCCUCCCAAAGUAUUAUAGGCAUGAGCCACCGAGCCCGGCCUUUUUUGUUUUUUGUUUUUUUAAAGGCAGGGUUUUGCUCUGUUGCCCAGGCUGGAGUGCAGUGGUGUGAUCACAGAUCACUGCAGCCUUGACCUCUCCUGGUCUCAAGUGAUCCUCCCACCUCAGCCUUCAGAACAGCUGGGACUACAGGUGUGUGUCACCAUGCCCAGUAAUUUUUUUGUAUAUUUGUAGAGGCAGGGUCUCCCAAUGUUGCCUGGGCUGGUCUCAAACUCCUGGGCUCAAGCAAUCCACCAGCUUUGGCCUUCCAAAGUUCUAGGAUUAUACGCAUGAGCCACUGUGCCCUGCCCCAAUAUUUUGUUACUUACUAGUGAGACUAAACACUUUUCUAAAAGUUUGUUAGCCAUACUAUCCUAUAAAAGCUGUUUGUUCAUGUCUUUUGUCCAUUUAUCUUUUUUUUUGUUUUUCUUGAGACAGAGUCUUGCUCUGUGGCCCAGGCUGGAGUGCAGGGGUGCAAUCUCGGCUCACUGCAAGCUCCGCCUCCCAGGUUCAAAUGAUUCUCCUGCCUCAGCCUCCUGAGUAGCUGGGAUUACAGGCAUGUGCCACCAUGCCCAGCUAAUUUUUUUGUGUGUGUUUUUCAGUAGAGAUGGGGUUUCACCAUGUUGGCCAGGCUGAUCUCGAAUUCCUGACCUCAGGUGCUCCACCCGCCUCAGCCUCCCAAAGUACUGGGAUUACAGGGGUGAGCCACCGCACCCGGCCAAUUUUCUGUAUUUUUAAUAGAGACAGGGUUUCAUCCUGUUGGCCAGGCUGGCCUCGAACUUCGGACCUCAGGUGAUCCACCCGCCUCGACCUCCCAAAGUGCUGGGAUUACAGGUGUGGGCCACCACACCCAGCCAAUUUUUUUGUAUUUUUAGUAGAGACAGGGUUUCAUCAUGUUGGCCAGGCUGGUCGCAAACUCCUGACCUCAGGUGAUCCACCCGCCUCAGCAUCCCAAAGUGCUGGGAUUACAGGCAUGAGCCACCACUCCCGGCCAAUGUUUUGUAUUUUUAGUAGAGAUGGGGUUUCAUCAUGUUGGCCAGACUGGUCUCAAACUCUGGACCUCAGGUGAUCCACCUGCCUCAGCCUCCCAAAGUGUAGGGAUUACAGGUGUGAGCCACCGCGCCCAGCCUAUGUUUCUAUUUUAUACAUAUUCAACAAACAUGAUUCCCCAACUUCUGCAAAAUAAUUUCUUUUUCAAGAACAUUGAUUUUAGAGCUCACACUAAGAAAAAGAAUACAAAAAUAAUGGCAUAGAAAGUGAAAAAACAAAAAUAAAAAGUAGAAAGCUAAAGUUUCCCAUUAAAAUGAUCAAUAUACUGUGCAGUAAGUCAAAUGUGUACAAUGAAUUAAGAAAAUAUGAUAUAUAAAAAUCCAAAUUUACAAAAUUA